Molecule: non-coding RNA, 30 nt
Filed under: Rattus norvegicus (Norway rat)
Lineage: Eukaryota; Metazoa; Chordata; Mammalia; Rodentia; Muridae
Source: RNAcentral
UCCACAUUCUCAGGGCCUCCAAAUUGCAGG